RNAcentral lists this ribosomal RNA (253 nucleotides) under uncultured bacterium. RNAcentral describes it as "partial 16S ribosomal RNA". It matches the Rfam family "Bacterial small subunit ribosomal RNA", at positions 524 to 776 of the family's 1533-position model. The record is from RNAcentral.
UACGGAGGGUGCGAGCGUUGUCCGGAAUCACUGGGCGUAAAGGGCGCGUAGGCGGCUGGGGAAGUCGGCGGUGAAAGCCCGGAGCUCAACUCCGGGUCGGCCGUCGAGACUCCUCGGCUCGAGCUCACUAGAGGCAGAUGGAAUUCCGGGUGUAGCGGUGGAAUGCGUAGAGAUCCGGAAGAACACCGGUGGCGAAGGCGGUCUGCUGGGGUGACACUGACGCUGAUGCGCGAAAGCUAGGGGAGCAAACGGG